ACACACACACACACACACACACACACACACACACACACAGUGUUAGGGUUUUAUCGUUUCUCAUUUGCUGACCAAAAGGUCCCAGAAUAUAUGACAUGCAAGAAGCACACACACAUAAACGAUUUUACAUGUAGUCUUUGCAGAGAGGCACCCCACACACACACACACACACACACACACGCACACACAUUCUUAUACUUACAUUAUACUUUAUUUAUAUAUACACACACACUCUCUCUCUCUCCCACACACACACACAUGGAGCAUGGAUGGAUUAAAGAGAACAUCUGAAUAAGGAACACGUUCAUUUUGAGGGAAGACUGAAGAAGAAUAAAGAAGGUGGAUUCUUUCUGAAAGUGUUUUCAGCGUGUAUUCAUCUGAUUCAUCAUCUGUGUGUCAGUGAGUGUGAGUGAGUGAGUGUGUGUGUAUCAGCUGUUAGAUGAUGUUGGAGAUGAAACGAGUUGUUCUCCUGCUCUCUGUCCUGCUCCUGACCUGCGCUGCUCCUCUGCAGCAGAAUAAUGAGGUGAGCAGUUCACAGGAAUCCCAGGUUACCUCACGGGUCAAUCAGUUUUGGGGAACCCCAGGAAGUGACAUCAUAAUCACGGCACCGGCAGGUUUUGGAAAACCCAACGAGAAUGGCCAGAGCACCGUUACAGUCAGUUUACGGGACGAGAAUACCAAGGUUUCCGUUGAUGUCGUGAGCUUCAUCUUCUCUGUGAGCAGUGAGGAAAUGUCUACAUCUAAGCUUGGAGAAAGCAACGGAGGAUUCAGUGAUGAAGGAACGCAGGAUAAUGGGGCUCGACCUGGCAGAACCGAAGAGGAAAACAACCCUGAUAGUGACGGGGAGGGGAGUGAAGAGGGAUUUGAACCAACAGCUGGACCUGAGGUGCGAAACAGUGAUGAAGAGUUGGACAAACGCGAGGAGGAAACUCCAAAUCUAAGAGAUGAUAAGAGUGAUGAAGAUCAGUCUGACACCAGAGUUGACUCUGAAGAAUAUGACCCAGACCAUCCAAAAGUCUUUGAAAUGUCAACCACCUCAGAUACAACCAGCUUACAGGAGGACACAAAUGAGUCUGAUUCUGGAUCAGAGCACCAAAAGACCAAGGUCCAUACUGACAGCAAAGAAACUUCUGCCCCACACUAUCUCUCCAGACAACUCUCAGGUCUCACAGUUCUUGCAUCUACCUUAAUCCAUGAGGAAACCAUUUCAGCAGAAGCAAAUGGCAAAGGAACCGACCCUAGAUCAGAUAUUUCCUCUGUAGAAGGUCAGACUGUUCCCUCAAACUCAGAACCCAUGUUAGGACCUUUUCAGACAGCUUCAUCACUCAGCUCCAGCUCGGAGGAGGAAACAGAUGAUGAGUGUAAGACAAGUGUCACUGAUCCAACACCGAAAAUGACCCCAAGUCACAAAUCAGGUCCAGAGUCUGUGGUAAAUACAGAAGUGGUGAAGAAGAAUGAAGGUUCUCCAACACCUUUCUUCUCUGGUUCAGACUUUGAAUAUGUUAAUGAUGACUGGCAGUAUGAUCCCAGAUAUUAUGACCCAUACAGGAACCAUCCUGAGUAUGCUGCAGCGUAUGACCCCUAUGGUGCAGGGUAUGACCCUUAUCAAGCAGGGUAUGACCCUUAUCAAGCAGGGUAUGACCCCUAUGGUGCAGGGUAUGACCCUUAUCAAGCAGGGUAUGACCCUUAUGGUGGAGGUUAUGACCCAUAUCGUGCAGGAUAUGACCCCUAUGGUGCAGGUUACGACCCCUAUGGUAAAAGGUAUGAUCCCUAUCAAGCAGGAUAUGACAACCAGGACCCAUAUCAUGAAACAGAGAGUGAAGAUCCAAGACACGACAUAGAGCAAGAAACCACUCCAGCAUACUCAGUUGAAGAAAACGAGAGUCGUCCUACAGAGAUUUCAAAUAACCAGGAUAACUCACACAGUGAAGAACAACCCCUGUCACCCUCCAUUUCACCAUCAAGUACACCAGUAUCACUUCCUGAAGGUUAUGAGAACAUGGAUUCUGCACACAACAUGCCAUCAGAAGAACCAUCAAACUCCAGCUCUAUUGAAACCAGCAGAGAAAUGGGACUGAGGGCUUCCACCAGUCCUCCAGAUCCCGCUGUGUCCAACAGUGAAGAGGGUACCAAAACCCGAGCUGAUGCUGUGGGCUCCAGCAGUGAGGAGAGCGUUGAGACCACAGACUCUGAACAAGAGAGCCAGAAUACAAUGGACCAGCCAGGAAACCAGGGAACUCCUGAUCCAUCUUCCCACAUGUCUCUGCUUCAGGUCAUCCAGGAGGUGAACAAUGAAGAAGAACCUCAGAGUCAGUCAAAUGCAGAUCUCAUACCCACAUUUAGUUCAGAAGAAGAUGAUCCAUUGGUCAACACAAUCGAGCGCAUCGUGGCUCUUGCAUUCAAAGGUGGAUCCAAUGAAGAAGCUACUGUUGUUGGGACGAACCCUGACUCUAGCCCCUCAGACAACACCAUCUCUGAAAACAACCAAAAUGAAGAAUCAUUUUCAAAUGAAUCUGCAACCGGUAGCCCAGGAAUCAGUUCAGAAGUGACUCGUGAAUCAGUGGACCUCACUACAGAGAGCCCAGUACUCAAUUCUGAAUCAGUUUCCAACAAGCGAUUCACUUGUUAGCAAUGAAGACGCCUCCAGUGAGAGCACCACGCCAAAUCUGAGCGCUAGCCCGCACAUUACAACUCAGAACAGCGGAGGAUUAGCUGAUAGUGCUGAAGCUAAUGCUAAUGCUAACACUGCUAAUGACAGCGUGGAGUCCCAGGAGUCUCAGAUCAUUACCACAUCCACAGUGUUCUCCAUUGCUAGCCAACCAAGCCACUUGCAGAACAAUGAAAACAGCAGUGAUGAGGAAAACACACGAGACAGGAAGGCCAACCAGGGGAUAAUCAGUCAAUUUCCUGUAGAGACACCCGCUAAAGUAAUAGCCGCUAAUCUCUGGACGUCUUUCCUCCAAGCCCUGAAUGUUCCCAUUCCUAAUCAAAGUGGAAAAUCAGUCCGAAAAAAUGUCCAAAGGCCACAAAGUACCAGACGUUAUCAUCAGCGUAGCAACAGGAGACAAAAAUCUGACAGCAGUGAGGAAAGUAAAUAAAAUAAAAUUAAAUAUGCGUAAACUUAGCACGUUUUUCACAAUUAAAGGCGAAGUCAGGAAUUGCUAAUGAAAAGUUGGGGCUUGGUCCUGCAACAUAAGCAGUUUAUUAGGUUAGCAUGUUAGCAUUCAUACACACUAUUCGCAAUCAUAUUCUGUGUUAGCGACCAUGUUAUCCUUUAACAAACAUGCACACAGUUAGCAAAUGAUUCUCUUCUAGCAUAGAUCUCUGGAGCAGCCAUGACACUGUUUAAACAAGUUUCCUGAUUGGAGCUUUAAUGUUUUUUGUUUUGUUUAGUUUUAAUUCCUCAUGUGGUUGAUGUAGGUCUGUUUUCUCCUCUCAGGAAUGAAUUGCUGUAUUUCUGGAAUGGAAAUGUGAUCCAGAUUUAAACACAAACAUCUUUUACCUCGAAGAAAACGAGAUGUAAUGAUACUGAUAGCUUAAUAAAAAUUCUGUAUUGCAAGUUUAUCAAUAUAAUGACCUGGGAAAAGUUUUUUAUUUCCAGACUGAUCUUGUACUCCAAAAGCAUGAUUUCUAUUUAAAUGAUCAAUAAAUAAAAUAAAUAAAUCUCAUAAUGCAAUGGUUCAUGCAGCUGUAACAGUUUCCUGUGUGUUUAUUCACUGUGUGUUCAUAAUGGAUUACUUUAAAGGUUAUUACUUU
Molecule: long non-coding RNA, 3756 nt
Organism: Ictalurus punctatus (channel catfish)
Lineage: Eukaryota; Metazoa; Chordata; Actinopteri; Siluriformes; Ictaluridae
Source: Ensembl